GAUUAGAGUUUGAUCCUGGCUCAGAUUGAACGCUGGCGGCAUGCUUUACACAUGCAAGUCGAACGGUAACAGGGAGCUUGCUCCGCUGACGAGUGGCGAACGGGUGAGUAAUGCAUCGGAACGUACCCAGUCGUGGGGGAUAACGUAGCGAAAGUUACGCUAAUACCGCAUACGUCCUGAGGGAGAAAGCGGGGGACCGAAAGGCCUCGCGCGAUUGGAGCGGCCGAUGUCGGAUUAGCUAGUUGGUAGGGUAAAGGCCUACCAAGGCGACGAUCCGUAGCGGGUCUGAGAGGAUGAUCCGCCACACUGGGACUGAGACACGGCCCAGACUCCUACGGGAGGCAGCAGUGGGGAAUUUUGGACAAUGGGCGCAAGCCUGAUCCAGCCAUGCCGCGUGAGUGAAGAAGGCCUUCGGGUUGUAAAGCUCUUUCAGGUGGAAAGAAAACGCAUGGGUCAAUACCCUGUGUGGAUGACGGUACCAUCAGAAGAAG
This 491-nucleotide ribosomal RNA is filed under the name uncultured bacterium. RNAcentral's name for it is "bacterial SSU rRNA". It matches the Rfam family "Bacterial small subunit ribosomal RNA", at positions 1 to 490 of the family's 1533-position model. The record is from RNAcentral.